Molecule: ribosomal RNA, 253 nt
Filed under: uncultured bacterium
Lineage: Bacteria
Description: partial 16S ribosomal RNA
Rfam family: Bacterial small subunit ribosomal RNA
Source: RNAcentral
UACAGAGGGUGCGAGCGUUGUCCGGAAUCACUGGGCGUAAAGGGCGCGUAGGUGGCGACCCAAGUCCAUGGUGAAAGCUCGAUGCUCAACAUCGAGUCGGCCACGGAUACUGGGUUGCUGGAGCACUGUAGAGGCAGAUGGAAUUCCGGGUGUAGCGGUGGAAUGCGUAGAGAUCCGGAAGAACACCGGUGGCGAAGGCGGCAUUCUGGACCGACAUUGACGCUGAGGAGCGAAAGCCAGGGGAGCAAACGGG